Molecule: long non-coding RNA, 199 nt
Filed under: Physcomitrium patens
Lineage: Eukaryota; Viridiplantae; Streptophyta; Bryopsida; Funariales; Funariaceae
Description: long non-coding RNA (PPAT_LNC006211)
Source: RNAcentral
AAAAUCUUCUCACUUCCGUUGUAUUUGUACAUUCUUUCAUCUUUUUAAUAAUAUCAAUCUUUUCUAUACUUGGCUUACGUCCAUAUGAACCACAUAUGUGUCCUACCACCAAAAUUUCUUUUACUCCAAACAUUGAUUUUGUCCCCAAUAAGGUUAAAUGAACUUCUUCCAAUCUUUUCAAAAUCUUCUCACAAUCUUC